RNAcentral lists this non-coding RNA (88 nucleotides) under Bacillus sp. (in: firmicutes). RNAcentral describes it as "Bacillus sp. c-di-GMP sequence". It matches the Rfam family "c-di-GMP-I riboswitch aptamer". From Rfam's summary of the family: GEMM was predicted in a large-scale screen for bacterial structured RNA regulatory elements. Genes associated with GEMM are involved in a diverse array of functions, including chemotaxis regulation, signal transduction, secretion and chitin. The record is from RNAcentral. Lineage: Bacteria; Bacillati; Bacillota; Bacilli; Caryophanales; Bacillaceae.
UUUACGAAACGGCAAACCUGCUGAAAAGCAGGGACGCAAAGCUAUAGGGCCUUCACCGGAAUUAAGGAUAGGCAGCCUGGCUACCGAA